GGGAGGUGAGAGGUAUGAAUGGAAGGGAGGUGGAGAAGGGCCAUGGUACAUGUUAUUCAUACCACUAGUUUACCUUGAUGGUAAGAAAAUGCCUCCUCCAUGCUUAGACAUAGGGCGGCAGCAGCUCUGUGCUCAGGCUUGGUGCCAGUUUAAGGAAAGUAACUAGGCAUCAGUUUACCUUGUCCACAGAACUCUGUGACAUAUUGUCUCUAGAGUAUCUCCGGGGUGGCAUCUAAGAUUUCCCCAGCUGGAUUUGUCCCUAACUGGGGGAAGCAACUCCCAGAUCAGCCCCAGUUGUAAAGAAUCAAUGGGCCCAUGGAAAAACCUGUGUUCCCUGAUGUAGCCUUUGCCUCCCUAACUCUGUAUUUAUUGUGUGCUUUUGCUCCCCACUAAGAUCUCUAGAAGAAGAAAAAACAGGAAUCUUGAACAUCCCAAAAGGAGGAAUCUGAAUUAGUAAAUGGAACAUCCACACAUGCCCAUUAGGGAGAAAAAGAGAGUGAGAGAUGUUGUAAGUGAACUAAACCCUCAUACUCCAUAGCAGGAAAUGAACAGAUGAUAUAUCAAGUUAAUAAAAGACAGAGAUAAACUGGAAGUCUUUGGAAAUACGGAGAGUGGGGAGUCUCACUAUGUUGCCCAGCCUGGCCUUG
This 647-nucleotide long non-coding RNA is filed under the name Homo sapiens (human). RNAcentral's name for it is "HSALNT0340381". Lineage: Eukaryota; Metazoa; Chordata; Mammalia; Primates; Hominidae. The record is from RNAcentral.